AUGACUUGUAUUCUACUAUGCAAUGCUUAAUGUAUUUUUUUCAGUAGCCUGUUGGUAAGUACAAUUGCCUUCUUUAAUUUUCAUAUUGAACUGUUUUGAUGAUGUGUAUACUGCUAUGCAAUGCUUAAUGUUUUUUUCAUUUCAGUAUGGCUGUGGUAAGUACACAAACUUUCUUUAAUUUUCAUAUUGAACUGUUUUGAUGACCUGUAUUUUGCAUUGUAAAAUGUGUUUCUUUUUCAUUUCAGUAUGGCUGUGGUAAGUACACUAACUUUCUUUAAUUUUCAUAUUGAACUGUUUUGAUGACUUGUAUUCUGCUAAACAAAAUGUGCUUUUUUCAAUUUCAGGUCAGCAAUGGUAAGUAGAUUGUGUUUCUUUAUGUAUAAUUGUGUAUACAAAGUUUUUUUUUCAUCAUAGCAUGUCUUUUAUAUUUAUGCUUCGUGUAAGUAAAAUGUUCAUAAAUCAUUCUUAUCUUCAAACUAAAAAUGUAUUGUGCUAUGCAAAAUAUCUGUAUGUUUUCAGUUGCCAGAGGUGAGUACCAUUACAGUUGAAAAGUUAGUUUUGUUUAGUUAAAGUUUUGGUUCACAGUUCUGUUUGUUAUUUGGCAAAAUUUACAUGUAUGCAUUGAGUCUUGAUUUCAGCUCGAUUGUGGACUGAAGAAGAUUGCCAGCAGAGGGAUUGGAUACAAAAUACAAACCCUACUACAAGACGAGUGUUUUCUACUACUAGACGUGUCAGGUUUACUUCCAGGCGAGCAGUGACAACAAGGCGCCUUUGUGGAAACAGCAAAACAAACAACUCUACUGCAAGACGAGCAGUAACAGCAAGGCGCCUGAACAUGCAACACAAUACAAAAAAUGCCAAUUUGCAAACCUUGAUGUGGACACCGAGUAGUCAAUACAUACGUGUGGCGUAUAGCUGCGACAAAACCGUGGGUCCAUCGCACCGAUAACUUGAACAUUGGCCCGUGUAUGGACAUCAGUGCAACUUUGUGAAUCCAUGUAUCUUUGUGAAUCCAUGUAACAUUGCGAAUGUGUGUCGAUCGAAAAAUGUGUACAUUCUGAACUGAACAGAACUCGGUGUUGCAAGUGGCAAGUGUUGACAGUGUGUAUGUUUAUGUUUAUGUUUUUACAUGAAAACUAAAGGAGAUUGUUCUCCUACCUUUUUUUUCCUUGUUUUAUUGCGCUGGCCAGCAAUAUUGAUGUAUUGAUGUAUGUGUUUGUGUUUAAACUAUGCAAUACCAAAAUCAAACAAAAAAUAAACAUUAACAGUCAUUAACUGUGUUUGGGCGGCCGAGGGGUUUAAGACUCCACAAGUGUGAAGCGCACUGAUAGCACUUGGGGGUGAACACCUCGGUAUUUCGGUGCUAAAAUGUUUUCACGGUGCUUAUCUUGACGCACUGUUAAGACUACCAACCAGUUAAUGAUUGCUUCAUCUUUAAACAAAAAGUAAGUCUCUACUUUGGCACAAGAGACUCCAAGUACCAAAUACCAACAAUUAAAAAGCAGACGUUUUUCAAAACUAUGAUCGCUGAGAUUGAUAGUCAGAUGGAGUCCUGCCCAUUUAGCUGUGUAGCGGUCUAGGGCGGGG
Dreissena polymorpha is the source of this 1587-nucleotide long non-coding RNA. RefSeq lists it as uncharacterized. The transcript is spliced from 4 exons. The record is from RefSeq and is a predicted model, not a curated record. NCBI's taxonomy places the organism in Eukaryota, Metazoa, Mollusca, Bivalvia, Myida, Dreissenidae.